RNAcentral lists this ribosomal RNA (497 nucleotides) under uncultured bacterium. RNAcentral's name for it is "partial 16S ribosomal RNA". It matches the Rfam family "Bacterial small subunit ribosomal RNA", at positions 28 to 507 of the family's 1533-position model. The record is from RNAcentral.
GAUGAACGCUGGCGGCGUGCCUAAUACAUGCAAGUCGAGCGAACAGAUGAGGAGCUUGCUCCUCUGACGUUAGCGGCGGACGGGUGAGUAACACGUGGAUAACCUACCUAUAAGACUGGGAUAACUUCGGGAAACCGGAGCUAAUACCGGAUAAUAUAUUGAACCGCAUGGUUCAAUAGUGAAAGACGGUUUUGCUGUCACUUAUAGAUGGAUCCGCGCCGCAUUAGCUAGUUGGUAAGGUAACGGCUUACCAAGGCAACGAUGCGUAGCCGACCUGAGAGGGUGAUCGGCCACACUGGAACUGAGACACGGUCCAGACUCCUACGGGAGGCCGCAGUAGGGAAUCUUCCGAAAUGGGCGAAAGCCUGACGGAGCAACGCCGCGUGAGUGAUGAAGGUCUUCGGAUCGUAAAACUCUGUUAUUAGGGAAGAACAAAUGUGUAAGUAACUAUGCACGUCUUGACGGUACCUAAUCAGAAAGCCACGGCUAACUACGUG